Molecule: ribosomal RNA, 429 nt
Filed under: Bacillota bacterium
Lineage: Bacteria; Bacillati; Bacillota
Description: Firmicutes bacterium partial 16S ribosomal RNA
Rfam family: Bacterial small subunit ribosomal RNA
Source: RNAcentral
UAGGGAAUCUUCGACAAUGGCCGGAAUUCUGACCGAGCAACGCCGCGUGAGUGAAGAAGGUUUUCGGAUCGUAAAGCUCUGUUGUUAGAGAAGAACGUUGGUAGGAGUGGAAAAUCUACCAAGUGACGGUAACUAACCAGAAAGGGACGGCUAACUACGUUCCAGCAGCCGCGGUAAUACGUAGGUCCCGAGCGUUGUCCGGAUUUAUUGGGCGUAAAGCGAGCGCAGGCGGUUCUUUAAGUCUGAAGUUAAAGGCAGUGGCUUAACCAUUGUACGCUUUGGAAACUGGAGGAAUUGAGUGGAGAAGGGGGGAGUGGAAUUCCAUGUGUAGCGGUGAAAUGCGUAGAUAUAUGGAGGAACACCGGUGGCGAAAGCGGCUCUCUGGUCUGUAACUGACGCUGAGGCUCGAAAGCGUGGGGAGCAAACAGG